Molecule: ribosomal RNA, 468 nt
Filed under: uncultured bacterium
Lineage: Bacteria
Description: partial 16S ribosomal RNA
Rfam family: Bacterial small subunit ribosomal RNA
Source: RNAcentral
GACGAACGCUGGCGGCGUGCUUAACACAUGCAAGUCGAACGGAAAGGCCCUGCUUUUGUGGGGUGCUCGAGUGGCGAACGGGUGAGUAACACGUGAGUAACCUGCCCUUGACUUUGGGAUAACUUCAGGAAACUGGGGCUAAUACCGGAUAGGAGCUCCUGCUGCAUGGUGGGGGUUGGAAAGUUUCGGCGGUUGGGGAUGGACUCGCGGCUUAUCAGCUUGUUGGUGGGGUAGUGGCUUACCAAGGCUUUGACGGGUAGCCGGCCUGAGAGGGUGACCGGACACAUUGGGACUGAGAUACGGCACAGACUACUACGGGAGGCAGCAGUGGGGAAUAUUGCACAAUGGGCGGAAGCCUGAUGCAGCAACGCCGCGUGCGGGAUGACGGCCUUCGGGUUGUAAACCGAUUUCGCCUGUGACGAAGCGUGAGUGACGGUAAUGGGUAAAGAAGCACCGGCUAACUACGUG